This 60-nucleotide transfer RNA is filed under the name Clavisyllis tenjini. RNAcentral's name for it is "tRNA-Leu". The record is from RNAcentral. Lineage: Eukaryota; Metazoa; Annelida; Polychaeta; Phyllodocida; Syllidae.
AAUAAGUUGGCAGAGUAGUGCACUCGAUUUAGGUUCGAAAUAUAAAAAUAUUUACUUAUU